Molecule: small nucleolar RNA, 89 nt
Filed under: Monodelphis domestica (gray short-tailed opossum)
Lineage: Eukaryota; Metazoa; Chordata; Mammalia; Didelphimorphia; Didelphidae
Description: Small nucleolar RNA SNORD111 (ENSMODG00000026349.1)
Rfam family: Small nucleolar RNA SNORD111
About the family: The members of this family belong to the C/D class of snoRNAs which contain the C (UGAUGA) and D (CUGA) box motifs. Most of the members of the box C/D family function in directing site-specific 2'-O-methylation of substrate RNAs.
Source: Rfam by way of RNAcentral
UUGCCUGAAAUGAUGAUUAUUUCAUGAAUCUUCUCUGAAACUUUUUUCUCUGAAGACAAAAACUUACCUCUCUGAAUCUGAUCGGGCAC